AAAAAAUCGAGUGUACCGAUGUUCAAUCUAAAAGUGUACGACGCGACAUAAACGACGUCAUACAGCUAUUGGCCAAUUAUUGUGACGUCAUUUGACGUUAGCUGAUUGAAUAUGGAUAGCGAAACUCAAGGACUACUAAAUUUAUCGAUGGCUGCAUUCAUAAAAUUACUGAAUGUCAUGGUUUUGCCAUCGCAGCAUUCAAAAUCUAAGAGAACUUAUAAAUGUGUGACAUAUGUCGUUUUAAAAAACAACAAAGUUUCAAUAACCAGCUCAUACUCCGAUUGGACGGAUGGUCAACGUAUUCUUGUAUGCAGCGUAGGAAGUUAAACAAGAGUAAACUUCCGCGUAAAGACGCACGUCCAGCCAUAUAGCGGAAGUAACAUCAUCAAUACGUGUCGGUAACGUGUAGUUUCCACUGCAAACGUAUGGAAGAAUAUUUUGUGGAUCCGGUGAUAGUGCACACGUUCAUUCACCAAUCAAACAUACAGAAGGAAGAAAAAGGAAGAUAGGAAAGGAAAGAGGGUUAGUGAACCAAAUCUAAACUUUUUGGGUUUUCCAGAACAGUAGAAGGAAAAAAUAUUGCAAUGGAGAAAUCGACGACAGUCAUAAGCAGUGGGAUUCAGCAGGUUCGCACAGGUUCGACAGAACCGAUACCUAAAUUUUUAUUGAGUUCGGCUAACCGGAUUUACAUUCCUUAAGCCUAGAACACACCGAGACUUUUCUGCGCAGAAAUGCAGAAUGCAGAAAAG
Molecule: long non-coding RNA, 749 nt
Filed under: Androctonus crassicauda
Lineage: Eukaryota; Metazoa; Arthropoda; Arachnida; Scorpiones; Buthidae
Source: RNAcentral